Acanthosepion pharaonis is the source of this 91-nucleotide non-coding RNA. The record is from the annotation of a GenBank genome assembly. Lineage: Eukaryota; Metazoa; Mollusca; Cephalopoda; Sepiida; Sepiidae.
CCCCUGUUCUCGAACGAUCACUGAAGUUAAGCAACAAUGAGCCUGGUUAAUAUCUAGAUGAGUGACCGCUUGGGAAUACCAGGCGCUGUAA